RNA transcript from Panthera uncia (snow leopard), 3263 nucleotides. It is a transcript of the gene named mitochondrial sheath formation associated, with no coding region annotated. NCBI's taxonomy places the organism in Eukaryota, Metazoa, Chordata, Mammalia, Carnivora, Felidae. The record is from RefSeq and is a predicted model, not a curated record. The transcript has 6 exons.
CCAACGCCCAGGCUCAGCGGCCGCUCCGCCCGGGAGUCGAACCAGCGCCCCAGCGUGGACCCUGAGCGCCGUCGGAAAGGCGUUAGCGCCCAGGGGGUCACAACCCAGCUUGCUGGAAGGAAACUUGGGGACAUCUGUAAGGAGAGGAAUAGGAAGGACCCGAGGAGAAGCAGUAAAGGAGGGCGUUGCGGAUCCUUUGGAGCCACGGACUGGAACUGCCAUGCAAGACCUCUACCAACUGAGGGUUUCAUGAGUGCACUCCCUUGCCAAGAUCUUGGUGAAUAGUCUUUCACUGUGCAAUUGUGUCUUAGACAUUGUUUUACUUGUUAUCAUGAUUGUGCUUGGCUGGAUGCUUUUUGUUGGACUUGCGUGUUACAUGGGCACAUUUCCAGAGUUCACGCCUCCAACUCUGAAGUGGAAAGAGAAGUGGCCCGUUCAGGAGAGCAAGACACGACUGAGGAGCCUGGCUUUGGAUGAAGAACCACAACUAUGAGAACCAUGUGGAAAGGAUAUAAGUAUCCCCCAGGAGGGACCCCGGUGGAAAUAAGCAAAGAUGAUCCUGGUGAAGUCAUGCAGCUCUGAAGCUCACCUGGCCUGCUGUAGAGUUCCUGUUGUUGGUUUCGCAUAAACUGUUACCAACAACCUUCUGUGGCCUUUUCACAGCUGUUAUCAAGAACCGAAGGCUUACACUGUGUGGGGGAAGGGAUGUCAUUUUAAUAUGAGGUGCUAGAUACUAAAUUAAACAUUACUUUAAUUCUUAUGAUAAGCUUCUGAGCUGGGCACUAGCCUCAUUGAACAAAAUGUUACAAAUGAAGUUGAGAGACUCAAGUAUCUUACCAGCUGCACAGCUCUGGGUUGGAGUCAAGAUCAAGAUCCAGGCCUUCUCCUUGGCAUGCUUUUAUGUGCCAAGGAAAAGAGCCAAACAAGAGACUGGAAUAUCCAAGAUCUUGGCUAUCUCUUGGCUCAAGUACCCCCUUCAUUUGAAUAGCCAAGAAGGUGCCUGAUGAUUCUUUUAGCAGUAACCACUGCUAAUACAGGGCAGCAUGCAUAGAAACAAAAGCUAAGUGCUCAGUCCUCAAUAUGAUGCAGUUUGAGUUUGAGACCAAGUAUGGAAACUUAAGUAUAAGACCCAUGCAAUUAAUCUAGGUGUUUCAGCCCUAGGAUAUUCUUCAUAAGCCCUCUCUAGGGAUGGUUUGGAAUUUUCUGACCUUAACGGGGUUGGGGGAGGGGGGAAGAACCCAACAAGAACAAGUACUUCUAAAAUAAACUGUAUGGAAUUUUUCCCAUUCUGUGGCUACUUGGGGAUGACUGAUAGUUCCAUCAUUCAGAAGUACAUCCUUACCACCAAAGUAGAUCUUUUUGGUUAUGUAGAUAACAUUUUGUUGAGGACCAUUUAGCACACAUUUGCUAAACUAUUUUUAAGUGGCCCUUUGCACUGAAUGGAUUGAUUUUUUUUUUUAUGGAAAGAAAAAUGAAUUCAAAAUCCAUUAGCAACACUGUAAUCCUGAAUCCAGGAUACUAUCUCUUAUAAGGCUUCUUAUAUGACCUAGACUCAACACAUCCCAUUGAGCUAAGUGCCUAUAUUUUCUGGCUCCAUGGCUAUACCAACUUGCCUCCUGAAUAUCCCAAAGGACUCAUCUUGUCAGUUAUUUCAAGCUCUUUUAUUACAGGGGAUCAGAACCUGUGUUCCUUUUCUUGACAAGAGGAACUAUACACCCAGUUCUUCUUCCCUCUGGUUCCCUGAAUAUACCUCCAAACAGUUCUCCGGCCUUCAGAGUAGCUCUCUUAAGCUGGUGGGGUGCGGGGAGAUGGGUCAGUUGUGGGGGUUGAGCAGAGGUCAAUGCGUCAGAGGGAAUGAACAGGUGUGUGUGUGUGUGUGUGUGUGUGUGUGUGUGUAAGGAAGCACACCCCAUGUCAAGUCUGAUGAGUCUACUGGGGUUUCUAGCUGGAAAAAUGUUCAGGGUGAUGAAAGAAGGAAUAUCUGAGUUUUGGUAAAUAAAUGCCAACCAGUGAAAAUAUCAAUAAAAUAUUUUUAAUGCCUACAAUUUCUUUUAUACAUAAAUUGCAAAACUUUCACCUGUAUAUGCAAAAGUAGAUUCUCUUGCAGGUCAACAGCACCAGAAAACAAGCUAAACUAUGUAAAUUUUUUUUUUUUAAAACUUGAUUUGUCCAUUAUGUAAAAGACAUGAUGGAUUUAAUAACUUCAAAGAAAUCUAUAUCCCACUCUUAAUCAUACACUAAACACCUGAAUAUUUAUUUUAUCACAUCCACUCACAAAAUAAAUAGUAGUCUAAUAUAUUCAGCACAUUGAAAAUAAACCAACCAGUUUCUCUUCAUAUAUUUAUUCUCUUUCCAAACAUGUUUUGGUCUCCUGCUAUAUCUCAGAAAUGUACUAAUAGCUGCUUUUAAGUUACAAAAUACAAAACAGUAAUUUCUUGGAGAAAAUCUUGGGGUAACAUUAAAAAAAUGAUAUUUCGAGUUCCCAUAGACUUUUUUUUGUUAACAGUCUUUGAACCUUCUCAUGGCACACAUGUAAGGCUGUCUGUGACAUGUGGUACCCUGGCCUCCAAAUGGACGUAAUUGCAUUUAUAGUUUAGAGAAAAUACAAAGACAAGUUUUUGAAAGUAGCCUUAAAAGAAGAGUGCCCCUUGCUUUGAUAUAGCAAUAUCAAAAGCAAGUGGGACUGUGCAAUCAGAGCCAUAUGAGUUUUAUGAAAACUACUUUCUUUUCACAUCAUCUGUUAGAGAAUGCCACACCCAUGAUCAUGUAACAUUACAAUCGUGAAAUAACAUUACUACAUUCGUGAAUUAACAUUACCCAAUAAAAGGCACAUCUUCAGAUAUUGAAUUAAUAAAAUCUGAAAAUCAAAACAGUAGAGGAUACAUUAAAAACCAAGCACUUAAUUUGUAAACCUUUAUAAAAUAACAGCUUAUUCCAGUUUCUUCAAAGGUUUGUGAGCUUUUUGUAAGAGCCGUCAGGAAUUGCAGAACAAAACGGAAGACAGGAUUUGGAAACAAGGCCAAGAUUAAUUUAAAAGACUUUCUCAGGACUUUCUUUUUAAAUGAGCUACAGAAGUGCCCUUUUAUAAUGUUGAUGCCGAGGAAUAAUAUAAUCAACAUCUGUAGAAGAAAUGCACUCAAAAGUGGUAGAUGCCUAAGGACACGACCUGACUCUUCCUGUGAAGUUCUAGAACUUUUAUCUAGCACAGUGGUGCCUUUCUGUACAAAUAACUGCACGUCGAAUAAAGUGCUAGUAAACGUUAA